CCGAAAUAGAGUCUUAUACAAAUAAAUAUUGAUAGGAGACUAAAGUAAUCAAUUUGCUGUAAGUACAUAUGUCUAAUAUGCCACAAUUCAGGUAUCUAACCACCUGUAGUUGAAAAAAAAUGUAUAAUAUUGAGAUAUGUGGUGCACCACAUCAGUCAGAUUGAAUGUAAUGGUACAAAUUUCCCUCCGUUGAAACCACACUCCCCAAUGCAAGCUUGUGACAACAGACACAUUUCU
Molecule: long non-coding RNA, 237 nt
Filed under: Mytilus galloprovincialis (Mediterranean mussel)
Lineage: Eukaryota; Metazoa; Mollusca; Bivalvia; Mytilida; Mytilidae
Source: RNAcentral